ACUUUCUUAGUAUAACUAGUACAGAAAACUUCCAAUUUUCUAAUCUUGGUUUAACCCCAAGAGAAAGUA
This 69-nucleotide transfer RNA is filed under the name Chalcorana labialis. RNAcentral's name for it is "Hylarana labialis tRNA-Gly". Lineage: Eukaryota; Metazoa; Chordata; Amphibia; Anura; Ranidae. The record is from RNAcentral. RNAcentral also lists the same sequence under 9 other names.